RNAcentral lists this long non-coding RNA (1769 nucleotides) under Marmota monax (woodchuck). The record is from RNAcentral. Lineage: Eukaryota; Metazoa; Chordata; Mammalia; Rodentia; Sciuridae.
CGCCUGGUCAGGGAUCUGGGGCUGGUACCCUAGUCCAGUGAGAUCCAGCAACUAACGCUUUCCGUGGCUCCCCACACCCUAGAGCGAGCGUACGCCCUCGCUCAUGCGAGAGUUCAGACCCUUUGGAGACCGGCUCCCCUGGACUUAAGAAUCUGGGCAGUUGGAAUACUUCGGAAGCCCCAGGCCAGCACCAUGAGGAACUCUUAGAGCAUCAAUCCCCAUGACCUAGACAUUCUGACCCUGAGAGGAGGGUGCAGAGCGAAGCUUUCAACUCCCCUUCCCAAGUGCGUUUUGUCUGCACUUCUAAAGUUUCUUAGCCCCGGGUCUUCAUAAGCCACCAACUACUUCAUAAUACAGGGAAAGGUUCUUCAUAAGCCACCAACUACUUCAUAAUAAGGGGAAACGUAAUGGGCUCCUCAAAUCCAACCAGCUGAUGACUUCUGUCCGGUCCCCACUCCUGGUAUCCUAUGGGUGAGGGCAGCACCAUUAUUUGGGGCCCAAACCUGGGAAGACAUGAGAAUUCCACCCUGUCUUUUCCUGUCCACCCAGUGGACCAUUAUCUCUGGCCCUAAUUGCCCAGGCCUCCUCUCUGCCUCACCUCAGAGUCUGUUUAAAAAUCUGAAACCUGCCGAGAGCUAUGGCACACGCUGUAAUCCCAGCGGCUCUGGAGGCUGAGGCAGGAGAAUAGUGAGUUCAAAGGCAGAAAGCAAGGCGCUAAGCAUAUCCAGUGAGACCCUGUCUCUAAAUAAAAUAAAGAAUUGCGGUGGGGAUGUGGCUCAAUAGCCAAGUGCCCCUGGGUUCAAUCCCUGGUACGCCCCACCCCCCAAAAACCUCUGAAACCUGACCAUGACCUUCCCCUACUGGGACCCACACCAGCACCUGUGGUCUCCUUUCUCGGUCGUCUGCAGACACACUUAACCUAUUUCCAGGCCUUUGCUCAUAGGGUUCAAGCUUGCCUGGGCAUUUUCACACGGCUGCAACUCAGUAAGAGCAUGCCCAUUACCUCCUGUGUACCUGCCCUGUGCUGAGACUCUGUGCCUGGAGCUCCUAGGAUUAGCGGGGAGACAAUGCACAAGAGCAAAUAGGAUACUCAACUGUACUAGAUGGAACCAGGGAUCCAGACUGUGUGUGGCAGCUGCUGUCAGCAGAGGUAGCCAAGGGAUGGGUCCUGAAAUGUUGACAUUUGGAAAAGCUGCAGACAUAGAGUGUGUAUGUGUGUAGGAGGGUGAAUCUUUCAAGGACCCAUGUGUGGGGGGCAUUUGCAAAUACAAAAGCUCUGAAGUUGAACAGGGCUUGACACAUUCCAGAAUAAGCUUUUUUUUUUGGAUGAAAGAUGUCAGGUGUGGAGGGCAGGCCCUAGUAAGCUGGGAGGAGAGUCCACUUGACCAAGCUAGUGGCAGAUUUGGUAGACUGAACAAUUAAAAAGAUCAGGCAUAUAUGUCUGAAAGGAAGAACAAAGAGGCAGCUUUGAGGGUUGGCUGUUGGGGCUCCCAGUGCAUGCAAUUUACAUGGUAGAGGCCCUUAUUUUGAUCCCCAGCACAAAAAAGUGGGGUUUCUGUUUAUGUGUCACCCACAAGGCCUUGGUACAGUAGGGGAAACUCAGUUCAACUCUGAGCAGCUGUUAUCAUGUGCGCCAUGAAGGGAGAACGGGGAAAAUCUGCAAAGGAGGUAUGGCAAGCUCUUGACAGUGCCCACAGGAACCUGUACAGGGGAAACUGGUGAGGGAAGUGCACCAGAUCACCUGGCUGGUACAUCCUGGGGACCCCCAG